AACAUUUAAGGUUUUAUACUAUUAGCCUUCAAAGCUAAAGACUCAUUUGAAAAUGUUA
This 58-nucleotide transfer RNA is filed under the name Pyemotes zhonghuajia. RNAcentral describes it as "tRNA-Trp". The record is from RNAcentral. Lineage: Eukaryota; Metazoa; Arthropoda; Arachnida; Trombidiformes; Pyemotidae.